RNAcentral lists this unclassified non-coding RNA (356 nucleotides) under Hevea brasiliensis (rubber tree). The record is from RNAcentral. Lineage: Eukaryota; Viridiplantae; Streptophyta; Magnoliopsida; Malpighiales; Euphorbiaceae.
AACAAAUUUAAGGUAUCCUUGUUAAAGAGAUCAUAUUGCCUGAUCAUGAUAGCUUGAUACUUCCACAAAUACGGCCAACAGUCAACCCCCCUUUAUCAUAAGAAAUAUGGAACUCCUGUUCUUGGGCCUCUCAUCUGAUUAUUCUCCUCUGUCUCAGUGAAGAACUUCACCUCUCUUUCCAUAUUCUCAUUAAAGCUCAAUAUAGAAGCUACAUUCCCACAACGAUAACAAUAAUUCGGAGCAGACCAUACAGUCACAAGGCCUUUAUCCUGAAACAUAUACUUGAGACCUUCUUGUACAAGUUGAUGUGCUCGGCAAACCAAAUCAAGGUUAUUAAUGUGAUUGAACUCAGAAGU